AGUCAUAACAAGGUUUCUGUAGGUGAACCUGCAGAAGGAUCAUUAGAGAAUUGCAUAGGAGCACCACUCUGUGGGCUCCAAACCUUUCCUAUCUUCCACAUACACCUGUGCAUGCAUGAUCGUGUUGGCUGCUGUCGCCUAGCGGCUCUGGCUGAUGCGGUUGUCUUUUUCACUUAACUCUAUGUUAAUGGAUGUGAACAAACCGAGCUAUACGCUCAAAUGAAAGUAAAACUUUCGACAACGGAUCUCUUGGUUCUCC
RNAcentral lists this unclassified non-coding RNA (259 nucleotides) under Gjaerumia minor. Its description in RNAcentral is "partial internal transcribed spacer region". The stretch from base 1 to 45 matches the Rfam family "Eukaryotic small subunit ribosomal RNA", at positions 1787 to 1831 of the family's 1831-position model. The record is from RNAcentral. Lineage: Eukaryota; Fungi; Basidiomycota; Exobasidiomycetes; Georgefischeriales; Gjaerumiaceae.